GUCUUCUGAUUCUGCGAACGGCUCCAUAAAACGAUAGCAACGAACCGCUUGAUAAGCCGAAUCAAAGUGGUUGAUAGGUUUAUGGAUAUCUCUGGAAAAUCUAGGGUUAAUACAUGUAACAAACCAGCCAGUGAUCCUGCUGGGCCUCUUCGCGUCUAUGACGUGAACACCCUUCACUCGUAAAGGGAUCACAGAGAAGGUUGGGAGCGUGCAUUACUUAGUUGACAGCCAUUCAAUAUUGAACAAUCGCACGUCGGAACAGGGGGUCCUUCGUUUGGUCGCGAAUCCCCGAGGUGCAAGCGUUCGACUAUCGACCUAUCAACUCGAUUGCAGUGUCACGGACAUGCAAUUGUCGCGACGGGUACGGGGAAUCAGAGUUCGAUUCCGGAGAGUGGGCCUGAGAGAUC
This 407-nucleotide ribosomal RNA is filed under the name Symphytocarpus flaccidus. Its description in RNAcentral is "partial small subunit ribosomal RNA". It matches the Rfam family "Eukaryotic small subunit ribosomal RNA", at positions 76 to 405 of the family's 1831-position model. The record is from RNAcentral. Lineage: Eukaryota; Evosea; Eumycetozoa; Stemonitida; Stemonitidae.